RNAcentral lists this ribosomal RNA (316 nucleotides) under Chelonia mydas (Green sea turtle). Its description in RNAcentral is "SSU rRNA". It matches the Rfam family "Eukaryotic small subunit ribosomal RNA", at positions 299 to 619 of the family's 1831-position model. The record is from RNAcentral. Lineage: Eukaryota; Metazoa; Chordata; Testudines; Cheloniidae.
UCAAGUUUCUGCCCUAUCAGCCGUGUUGGUAGUGUAUUGGACUACCAAAGCAGUAACGGGUAACGAAGAAUUUGGGUUCGAUUUCGGAGAGGGAGCCUGAGAAAUGGCUACCACAUCCAAGGAAGGCAGCAGGCGCGUAAAUUACCCAAUCCUGACUCAGGGAGGUAGUGACAAUAAAUCACAAUGCGGAACAUUUGUUUUGCAAUUGGAUUGAGAACAACGUAAAACUCAUAUCGAUAAACAAGUGGAGGGCAAGUCUGGUGCCAGCAGCCGCGGUAAUUCCAGCUCCACUGGCGUAUAUUAACGUUGUUGCAGU